CAAAACUCAUCCAUAGAGACAAGAUGUCAUGUUACUUAGUUUUGCCACUCCAAACGGUUAUUUUCCACCUAAAAGGACAACGAAAAUUCUACCGUGACGUUGGAAAUAGGUUUAGCUUUACCCCGUCCCGAUCGUUGGAAAAAACAAAUCCAACGGCCAAAAAUAGAUGACCGUUCAACGAGUUUUUCAUCUCAUUUGGAGCCCAUUUGGAAACCAAAGUCUGCCAGAUUAGAGAGAGAGAGGAGAGCCCCUCUUCUCCGUGGUGAGUGCUGAUUUCUCUUCUCAGUUUUCUCUUUUCUUCUUAGAGUUGUUGUUUUUGUGUAAAAUCAGGAAGAGGUGAUGGCAGCAGCCAGGAUUGAUUUUCCCAAACCAGAGGAAUACUUGACUCAGUUGGAGGAAGCGAUGAAGAAAUAUGACCACAUAGAUUACUUGGACAAAAUCUAGAGCCUUUCUUUUUCCAUCCUAUCAGGUAAUCUCUUUGAAGUUACAGUUGUUCCUGUUCCAUCCUUGUAAGGAUUUAAUGUUUCUUCCAAUUUUCUUUUGCUUCAAGCUAACUUUUGGUGGAUGGCUCAUAUGGAAAAUGGAAGUUUUACAUUAUCAGGUUGUCAAGGUUUGCUUGUGUCAGUUGUCUUCAUUUGUCAUUCUCUUAUAGGAUUACAUUCUCCCCUUUACAUUCUUCCCAAUGAAUUAAAAGCAAGGGACGAUACGACUCCAAAUACAUUUAGGACACCUGUCCCUAAAUCUACAGUAAAGAGCACCGACAAGUUGGUCACUGUUGCUACAGUAAAAAGGAGCAUUAUUGUCACUGAUAAAUUGGUCACAGUAGAAGAAUAUUACUUUUACUUUUUCUUUUCUAAAAAAAGCAUUCUACUUUUUCAAAGCAUCUUACUUUCUGUCGGUGCGGAUUUGAAACCCUUUGAAGUCCGACCCCUCCUCUAUAUAAGGAGGCCUGACCAAAGGGGAGAACACCUUCGUUUCGAGUCUUUUGAGUGUUUGCUUAUUGUCCGAGUGUUUGCUUAUUGUCUGAGUGUAAACUUUGCUUAAGUUGUUCGAGUCUUCUUAAGAAGAGGAACCACUCAGUUGGUAUAUCAUUUUUUUCUUCAAGGCUAUCAUGUAAGUGUUACAACUUUGUUUUAUAUUAUAACCUUGUAUUAAAUAUGUAUUUUAACUUUU
Non-coding RNA from Amborella trichopoda, 1173 nucleotides. NCBI's taxonomy places the organism in Eukaryota, Viridiplantae, Streptophyta, Magnoliopsida, Amborellales, Amborellaceae. The record is from RefSeq and is a predicted model, not a curated record.